GGGGGCGUAGCUCAGUUGGUUAGAGCGCUGCCCUGUCACGGCAGAGGCCGCGGGUUCGAGUCCCGUCGCUCCCG
RNAcentral lists this transfer RNA (74 nucleotides) under Pseudolabrys taiwanensis. It matches the Rfam family "tRNA". From Rfam's summary of the family: Transfer RNA (tRNA) molecules are approximately 80 nucleotides in length. Their secondary structure includes four short double-helical elements and three loops (D, anti-codon, and T loops). Lineage: Bacteria; Pseudomonadati; Pseudomonadota; Alphaproteobacteria; Hyphomicrobiales; Xanthobacteraceae. The record is from Rfam by way of RNAcentral. RNAcentral also lists the same sequence under 3 other names.